Caenorhabditis elegans is the source of this 21-nucleotide non-coding RNA. NCBI's taxonomy places the organism in Eukaryota, Metazoa, Nematoda, Chromadorea, Rhabditida, Rhabditidae. The record is from Ensembl.
UAGUGAACUGUCUGUCUUCAU